AAGUCGUAGCAAGGUUUCCGUAGGUGAACCUGCGGAAGGAUCAUUAACGAGUUUUGAAACGGGUUGUAGCUGGCCUUCCGAGGCAUGUGCACGCCCUGCUCAUCCACUCUUACCCCUGUGCACUUACUGUAGGCUUCAGGCGCGCCGCGGCUUUCAACGCCGUGACGUUACUGGGUCUACGUUUUACUACCAACUACAAAGUAUCAGAAUGUGUAUUGCGAUGUAACGCAUCUAUAUACAA
Molecule: unclassified non-coding RNA, 241 nt
Filed under: plant metagenome
Description: partial contains small subunit ribosomal RNA and internal transcribed spacer 1
Rfam family: Eukaryotic small subunit ribosomal RNA (bases 1-46)
Source: RNAcentral